Molecule: ribosomal RNA, 1372 nt
Filed under: uncultured bacterium
Lineage: Bacteria
Description: bacterial SSU rRNA
Rfam family: Bacterial small subunit ribosomal RNA
Source: RNAcentral
GAUGAGCUUUGGCGGCGUGCCUAAUACAUGCAAGUCGAGCGAACAGAUAAGGAGCUUGCUCCUUUGACGUUAGCGGCGGACGGGUGAGUAACACGUGGGUAACCUACCUAUAAGACUGGGAUAACUUCGGGAAACCGGAGCUAAUACCGGAUAAUAUUUCGAACCGCAUGGUUCGAUAGUGAAAGAUGGUUUUGCUAUCACUUAUAGAUGGACCCGCGCCGUAUUAGCUAGUUGGUAAGGUAACGGCUUACCAAGGCGACGAUACGUAGCCGACCUGAGAGGGUGAUCGGCCACACUGGAACUGAGGCACGGUCCAGACUCCUACGGGAGGCAGCAGUAGGGAAUCUUCCGCAAUGGGCGAAAGCCUGACGGAGCAACGCCGCGUGAGUGAUGAAGGUCUUCGGAUCGUAAAACUCUGUUAUUAGGGAAGAACAUACGUGUAAGUAACUGUGCACGUCUUGACGGUACCUAAUCAGAAAGCCACGGCUAACUACGUGCCAGCAGCCGCGGUAAUACGUAGGUGGCAAGCGUUAUCCGGAGUUAUUGGGCGUAAAGCGCGCGUAGGCGGUUUUUUAAGUCUGAUGUGAAAGCCCACGGCUCAACCGUGGAGGGUCAUUGGAAACUGGAAAACUUGAGUGCAGAAGAGGAAAGUGGAAUUCCAUGUGUAGCGGUGAAAUGCGCAGAGAUAUGGAGGAACACCAGUGGCGAAGGCGACUUUCUGGUCUGUAACUGACGCUGAUGUGCGAAAGCGUGGGGAUCAAACAGGAUUAGAUACCCUGGUAGUCCACGCCGUAAACGAUGAGUGCUAAGUGUUAGGGGGUUUCCGCCCCUUAGUGCUGCAGCUAACGCAUUAAGCACUCCGCCUGGGGAGUACGACCGCAAGGUUGAAACUCAAAGGAAUUGACGGGGACCCGCACAAGCGGUGGAGCAUGUGGUUUAAUUCGAAGCAACGCGAAGAACCUUACCAAAUCUUGACAUCCUUUGACAACUCUAGAGAUAGAGCUUCCCCCUUCGGGGGACAAAGUGACAGGUGGUGCAUGGUUGUCGUCAGCUCGUGUCGUGAGAUGUUGGGUUAAGUCCCGCAGCGAGCGCAACCCUUAAGCUUAGUUGCCAUCAUUAAGUUGGGCACUCUAAGUUGACUGCCGGUGACAAACCGGAGGAAGGUGGGGAUGACGUCAAAUCAUCAUGCCCCUUAUGAUUUGGGCUACACACGUGCUACAAUGGACAAUACAAAGGGCAGCGAAACCGCGAGGUCAAGCAAAUCCCAUAAAGUUGUUCUCAGUUCGGAUUGUAGUCUGCAACUCGACUACAUGAAGCUGGAAUCGCUAGUAAUCGUAGAUCAGCAUGCUACGGUGAAUACGCUCCCGGGUCU